Long non-coding RNA from Micropterus dolomieu (smallmouth bass), 286 nucleotides. RefSeq lists it as uncharacterized. The record is from RefSeq and is a predicted model, not a curated record. Lineage: Eukaryota; Metazoa; Chordata; Actinopteri; Centrarchiformes; Centrarchidae. The transcript is spliced from 3 exons.
CUGGGCUUCCCUGGAUAAAAUACUGCAGUGUUACCUUGGUUGCUGUUAGAAUGACAAAAGAGCAAAAGUCGGACAGCGAAUGAGAUUCUAGAGCAAGAUGAGUUCCCAUGAAAGGGGAAGAGAGAGAGAGGGAGAGAUGGAGUUCUGGGUGGAACCUGGACAGCUCAGGACACCUGGGCCCAACACCAGAUCUGAAGGAGGUCGCUGGUCUGAUGCAGAUUUGAGGCGUGUUCAUUUGGGACUGAGGAGCAACUUUCUGCUUGAUAGAGGACUUAGCAAUCUAGCA